Molecule: long non-coding RNA, 18360 nt
Filed under: Lupinus angustifolius (narrow-leaved blue lupine)
Lineage: Eukaryota; Viridiplantae; Streptophyta; Magnoliopsida; Fabales; Fabaceae
Description: long non-coding RNA (LANG_LNC000257)
Source: RNAcentral
AAAGCUUCAAACACCUUAUACUCACACACACACCAGGGUUUUUUUUGUUGGAUAGUAUGAACAUAAAUCAAAUUCAGAAACAACAGUUAAGCAAUGUAAUAAAACGGCUAAAUCCCUUUGGUUCGUUUGUUCGCAACUCAAUCCUCGGUUUCAAAAGAUUAUUUUCAGAAUCCAACCAUUAACUUCCGAAUUUGUUGAGAAUCAAUUAACUAAGUGAUAAUCAAUUCAAAGUUUCAGAACCUAAACCUCUAACUAGGCGAAAUCAGUAUAAGCAUGAAACGAUUAACAAAUUCACACGAACUAAGCAUUCAUGCACUAGAGAGAGUAAAUCAACUAAGUGAAGAUNUAAGCGAAGAUAAACUCAUAAACCAGUUUCUAACAUAGAAGAAAUCAACAAUAAAGAAACCGAAAAUGCUUUAAUAACAAAACCUCAAGAGUUGUGAUACAUUACCAAAGGAAUUUAGUCUACAAGUUUAGCCUUCCAUUGAGUGGAAGAAAGAAACCGAAAAUGAAGAACAUGUGAAAUCCUAGCAGAGCAAAAGAGGAGAAAAGAAAAUUCUAAAAUGAGUGAACGUAGAGAGUGAGAGUGGAAUUCGGGUUCCUUCUUUUGCAAAGAGUAAAACCGAAAAUGGGCCCUACACAAUGGGCCUAAAACUAAAACCAAAUUUACAAAUUAAAAAUCCAAAAAUAAAAAUACAAUCUUCACUUCAACAUAUAUCAUCCACUUCCAUAAUGCCAAAAAUGCCAUUGGUGCCAAAUAUGAUCUGAAAAUAUUAAUAGAUUUAACCAGGCUAAAUAAUUCCAAAUUAACUCAUUUUAGGAAUAUUAGUCCAAUAAAGUCUAAAACACUAAACCAUGUGAAACAAAGUCCAUUAGGCACAAAGAAUCAUCAAUCAUGUUAAAUUAAGGUUAUGAAUAGUGUGUAAUAUAUUAUUCAUCAGUAUGUUAUGGUUUGUACUAGACUGGACUUGGCACAAACAGUCAGUCAAGUAUGCAAGUACAUGUCGAAACUAGGGAAGCAACAUUGGGAAACAGCAAAUGGUUUUUCAGAUAUUUGAAGGGGAUUACAGGUCUCGGUAUCAUGUUUGGCAGCCAACUGAGUAAGCCUUCAAUUAUUGGUUAUGUUGAUUCAUACUAUGUAGGAGACUUGGAUGAUAUAAGGUCCACAACGGGGUUUGUCUUCACCCUUGCAGGUGGACAAAUUAUGUGGAUUACAUUUAAUUUCUCGCUUUAAUCAUCUUAGUAGGAAUUCGGAUAGUGAAUUUGGCCAGCAAAAAUCCUUGGGCACAGUCAUGAUAACCCUUUAAAUAUUUGUUUAUUUAACUACGUAUUUAAAGAGUUCAACCAUCCAUACAUCAAACUUUUUGUCCACACGUUUAACUGUUUAAGUGUCACCGAUAAGUGAUAAUAGUAUUAGUUAUGCUAGUAUAUAUAAUAAAUCUAAUCUCUAUUCUUUAUGUGUAUUGAGUUAAGUUUUAAAGAGAAAAAAAUAAAAAUGAAUGGCUUUGGUAUAAUCUUAUUAGUGUUUGCAACUUUACAUAACUCUCAAAUUUUUCAUUCUCGUCCAAAACUUAAAUUGGAAAUAGAUCUAACAAAUAUUCAUUCUCCAUUUAAAAGAAGAAGAAAAUGAAACAAAUAGCUAGUAGCAAACAGUGAGGGAUAGGACUCUUCUUAUAUAUGAUCAGUUUUGUUGUCUCUUUUGUAAUCAUAAUAAAUUAAAGAUUUUAUUUAAGUUGUGAUAGUAAGUAGUUAGAAUUCAGUUAAAAAUAAUAAGAUGGUCGUUUUGUACCUCCCUCAGAAGUCACAUCUAUUCAAAAGUAUGUAUGAUGGAGUGUAUGACAGAAUGAAGAUGUUCUAUCCAAAAAUAAUAGUGUCUCUAUGUCCUAAACUAAUAGAAUUUUAUUGAAAAAUGUAAAAGUAAUAAUUCUUAGUUUUAUAAUUUUAAAGCAUGUAGAACUUACAUUUUUUCAGGUAUAAUGCAUAUAUGAACAAAACAUGUUUUGGUAUUAGAGCAUUCAUAAUGAUUAUUUUUAACAUAACCUUAACGGAAUAAAAAUAUUAUUAUUCUAUUUUCCAUCGUAACAUUCUUAUUUCUUGAGUUUUGUUCUUAAAUAAGAACAUUUCUUGGUAAAUAAGAAUAGCUUUUGUCACAAUUAUAUUUUUUAUUUAUAAGAAUAAUUUGUGGCAUCCAUUAUAUUUUUUAUUUAUAAGAAAAAUUCUUGAUAGCAACAAAAAAAAAAUUAUAUAAUUUAUUUAUAAUAAACUAUAGCAAUCAUUAUUUUAUUAAUAAAUAAAUAAGUAAUUAUUCUUAAUAUUUUGUUAUAUUUAUUGUAAAAUAUAAAAAUGUGGGGUAGGAUGUGACACCCAAAUAAGAAUAAGAAUAAUGUUUGACAUUAUGAGAAAAAAGUAGAUAUUAUUCUUAUUUUAUGGGGAAUUGUAAUAAAUUAUAAAAUAAUGUAUGAGCCCCAAAUAAAAAUGAAAAUUUUGUUUGUCGUUGGUAAUACUCUUAUAGAUCAUAUAUCUUGAAAUACAUAUCUAACUUAAAGCUACAUAUAAUAUUAUUCCUAAUUCUUAUUAGGUUGAAAUAUCAUGCAUUGUGUUACUCUUAAAGUAUAUAUUGAAAAGAAAUAAUUGUACAAAAAAUUAAUUUAGAAUCAAAUUAUAAAAAAUGAGAUAUGAGAUAUUUUUAAGUAGAUCAAAGUGUUAGCUUGUUGUUUAAUGUUUUGUUCGACUUAAAUUUUGAAGAAUAAUGAAUGAAAUGUAAAUACUUUAUAAUUAUUUCACAAAUACAUAUUUCAUGUCUUACCCGGAUUAUCCUCCUAAAAUUAACUCUAGAGUGAUGGUAGGAAUAGCACAAGUAAAAGACUCAAGGGUAGAAAGAGGUCCUAACUUGUUUGUUUGCAAUUGAAAGCACUUUUCUCUCUGUCUCUCUGUUUGUAGCAUGUUUGCAGGAGAUGUCAGGAAAGUGCACUCUGAAGUUAAAACUGUACACACUGUUGAUGUUCUACCCCAAAACACAUGCUCGAUCGUCCUCCUUUCUUGUGACACAUCUAACUGACUAUUUCAUUCAUUAACCCAAAAAAUUGACUGAGUUAUUUUUCUUUUCAGGCAUCUCUUGCCAUAUUUGUGAUUUGUGUAGUUGUUGUUCUACUUCAUAGAAGAGUUAAAAGAUCAUCUGGGAUGUUCUUUUUUAUACUGGGAUCAGACUAGUCUUAUGUUGUUACUAACUUCUAUAAUCUGUUCAACAUGAUGUAUUUUGAACUGGAUUUGUGGAGAACCUUGAACCUAAUAAAUUGUGGGGAAUAUACUUUUGUAUCUCUUGUGGGUUGGCUUUUUGUCCCCUUAUCCAAACUGGAUUAUAAAUGGUAAGAGUUCAACAUUAAGUUCUUCAAACAUUUUUGGAUUGGGAACUCACAUCCUUGUUAGUUAUGUUAAUUCGAACUAUGUAUGAGACUUGAAUGAUAGAAGGUUCACAACAGAGUUCGUCUUCAUCCUUGUAGGUCAAUUAUAUAGAAUCCAUCAAUUUAGUCUUUUAUUGCAAUGUUCACAGCUGAAAUAAAGUAUAGGGCCAAUUAAGGUCUUCAAAUAUUUUCGAAUUGUAUCUUGGCAUGCUUUUUAGGCUUUGGAUCAUCGAUAGUGUUAAACUCUUUUAAGACUUCCAAAAUAAAACAUCUUUAUAGUAUUAAACACUAGAUUAUAUUUAGAUCAUCAAUGAUCCUCAAAGAUAAUAAUACUAAAUAGAAUAUCUUGUUAUAAUAAUAUAAAUGAUAAGUUUACCUAAAUUCUAAGAGGAUAAAGGAGAUAUCAUUAGUAAGGAAGCAACUUAAAGAAUAAAGAAUCUCAAUGUUAGUAUAACUUUUAAAGGGGUAUAAAUAUAUAAGAGACUGAAUGAGCAUAUUUGACACACAAUAUCAAGUGAGAAAUAGAAAGAUUGGCACAUUCUCUCAAGCUUUAAGAGAAAAUUAUGUAGCCUUGAUUCCGAAAGAUCACUCAAGGGUACUAAAACCAACAUUUUAUUAUUAUUAAGCUAAACUAACAUUUUCUAUAGGUCUUAUUUUGAGCUUACCAUAAUAUUGGUUUCAACAGCUGGGAGGGUAAACUACAAACUCGGCCAUACAAACUCAAAAAGGAUGACUAGAAGGGAGAUCACCCACCCACCAAGACUAUCCUAUAAAGGUGAGGCGUACACUAUCAUUAGAUGGUUUAUAGUCCAAUUAGUCAUACAUGUCAUGUGGAAUUGAAUAAGAAUAUGUUGUUAUCCCAAAUCAUGUCACACAUUAAUAAAAAUAUUUUAUAUCAAUUAAAAAAUUAAACAUUCAUUACUUUUUUUGUUUUUUGUUUUGUUUUCAUUAUCAUUCACACGGCAUAUGAUUUGGGACAUGCCAUUUCAAUCACAUGUGAAAUUAAGAAAACUAUUGAACCUUUGGAUCCGCUCAUGUUACUAUUCCUUCAUGUGUGUGUAAGAGUUUUGUCUAUGUAUAUCACUCUAAUAAUAAUAAAGGGUGAGGUCUGAUUUGGUUGUAAUGUAACCAUGUGAAUUUUUUUGCUUGGAUAAAGGAAAGAUUCGGUAACUCUUUCAAAGCAGUAAAGGAAUUGUUGGACCAAACUAUGACCGAGUAGCUUUCAACCAUUAGUGAGUUCUAUUAUUGUUGGAGUUAUUCAAGUGUGAAGUAUAAAGUGUAGAUACCACACACUUAUGAGUAAGGAUCCUCUCUAUUAAUAGAGAGGCAAGUGCCACACAAUAACACACAAAAAGUCACAUGUAAUAACACUUUUAUCCUUUUAUUUACUAUGAAAUUAUAUUUUUGCCACUGAAAAUAUGAGUAAAAACAAUUAUUGUCACAGUUAUACGUAUGUUCCCCGGUCUUUCCCCCAUAAGUCCACCAUGUCCUAGUCAAACCAUUAGCUCUGAUAUCACUCGUUGGACCAUACUGCGGUCGGAUCCUCCAAUCACUAGGGAGUUCUAUUGUUAGCGGGGUAUGAGAAGAAUGGAGAGCUACAAGUGAGACACCACGUCUUGAACCAAAACUUUAAGGCAUUGUUGGAACUUCUACUUAUAAGUUAUUUCACUUCUCCCCCUUAUACGACAUUGUUGUAACUUGGUUUGUUGAAAGCCAUUAGUGAGAAGUUUUGGAUGUGAAAUCUAAAAUACUCUCAAGUCUUACAUAGAAGAUUUUGAAAAACAACUCUCAAGUCUCACAUUGGAGAGAUGAGGAAUUUGGAAAAAGUCUUAUGUUAUAAAUAGAAGAUUUCCCCCCUCAUUAUAACUUGCCCCAAGUUGAAUGCGCUUUCAUUCAAAGUUUUCUUUCUCCCUCAUAUUUUUCGCUGAUGCAUUUCCGACAAACUUCUCCCAUUUUUUUCUGCGGUACUAAGAAUUGGUACAUGCAGCCAAAUUAUGAUAAUUUCGAGAACUGACACUAGUAGUCAGUAUUGAGGCAAACAAAUUAGUAAAGAUAGCCAAAUUAUAGGCAUUUCGAGAACUGACACUGAUAGUCAGUAUAGUGAGAAAAGAAUUGGCACAAGUAGCCAUAUUGUGAGAAUUUCGAGAAUUGACACUAGUAUCCAUAUUGCGAGAAUUUCGAGAAUUGACCAUAAUAGUCAUAUUGUGGGGAUUUUGAGAAUUGGCAGUGAUAGUCAUAUUGUGGUAGGUGUAUUCGGGAUUUGUUGUUACAGUGCAGUAAGAAUUCAAUAAUAGAGAUCUUGGUUGUUUUAUCCUAGGGACGACGUCGUUGAUAGUCUGCUUGCAAAUUUUGGACAAUGCUACGAAACGUCUUAAAGAGAGCGACCUGGUCGUGACUUAGCCAGUAAGUAUUAUUUUGUGCCAUUUAUAAUUGUUGUAAGCUACGGUAACAACAAUUUUAAGGUGUUUCUACUGCAAUGACGUUCAUAGAUAAUAUUACUGGAUCGAACAGCUUUGACAUAAACAAACUGUUUCGGUUUGAUGGGACAAAUUUCAAACGGUGGUAACAUAAGAUGAAAUUUUUCCUCACUAUGAGAAAAGUUGCCCAUAUUUUGAAAAUCGAGUGUUGAUGGAAAAAGCUGAAAAAGAGAAAAAGGAUAAACUAGCUAUUAAAAUAGCUCUCUGGAAUUAAAAUAAUUACUUGUGUAAGAAUUUCAUUCUCAAUGGGUUGUUUGAUGAUUUUAGUGAUUACUAUAGUCCAUACAAGUCUGUCAAAAUAAUUUGGUAUGCACUUGAAAAGAAAUAUGGUAUUGAGGAAGCUGAGACUAAAAAGUAUGUUGUUAGUCGUUACCUCAAGUAUUAUAUAACGAAUGAUAAAUCAGUAGAGUCUCAAUCCAAUGAGAUACAUAGAAUUGCUCAUGAAAUCAUUUCUAAUGGUAUGCCCUAGAGAGUUAAACUUAGAGAGCGUAUGAAUGUGUAUUCAUUAGGUAUUCUGUAAACAACAAGGCAUACAAGUUUUAUGACCUUAACGCAAAAAUGAUCAUUGAGUCUAAUAUGUUGACUUCAAUGAAAAGAAAUUCCUUUUUAAAUUGAGGAAUAGUGGGGGCACAUCAACUAGUCACAUACAUGUGGUAAGAGAUAAUGAUAAAAACGAAAGGUUUGAAAUAGAACCUAGAAUUAGUAAGAGAUCAAUAACUACUAGAGAGUAUAGACCUGAUUAUAUUAUCUAUAUAUUGGAAGAGAAUCUAUCAACUUUUCAAGAAGUUUUGACUUAUUUGGAUGCUAAUUUGUGGCAAGAAGCCAUAAAUGAUGAGUGAACUAUCUAGAGUCUAAUAAGAAACAAACUAUUUUAGCUCAAUCAAUUAUGGAAGUUAAGAUGAUAGCACUAACAACAGCUAGUGAAAAAGCAAGUUGGCUAAAAAGCUUGCAUAUAGAAAUUCCCCUAUAGGAAAAUCCGAUCACAACUGUGUUGAUCUAUUGUGAUAGUACCACAGCUAUUGCAAAAAUUGAGAACCGCUUUUAUAGAUGUAAGAAACGACAAAUUCGUCGUAAGCACAACAUCAUUAGAGAGUUACUCUCUACAGGAGCUAUUAAAGUGGAUCAUGUACGCACUAAGAAUAACUUAGCAGAUCCUUUGACGAAAUGACUAGCUAGAGAGAAAGUCUAUAAUACUUCUAAGAGUAUGUGACUAUUGCCCUUAGAACGAGGAUCACUCAUGAUGGUAACCCGACCUAACUGAUUGGAGAUCCCAAGAAAUAGGUUCAAUGGGUAAUAACAAGUUGUGAAGUGAUAUGAGAAUGAACAUGCUAUAAAAUUAUAAGAAGCAUGAUUCCUACAGUAUAUGUAACGAUGAGUUAAACUCUUAAUGAGAUCUAUACUCCAAUUGGAGUGGAGUACCUAGGCUACAGGAGUACUCUUGAUAGACUCACCUAUGUGAAUGAGGAAGUGGAGGCCGCUUUCUAUGAAAUUAUGGGGCAUAAAUUUCUAGAGCGUUCACUAUACUAGGAUAGAGGUGCAUGACCUUUAAUGCAUGGACUUUACAGAAUACACCUUUAAAAAGGUUGUGUGUGUUUUGAUGUUGGAGAUAGAGUUCAAGACUAUGAGUCACUCUAGUAAAAUCUGGAUCUUAUUCACUACACAAAGGUUCAAGUCGUAUGACACCUUUGUUUAUGCACAAUCUUAUUGAGACCAAAAAAAUUCUCGAAAAUCGUUUUUUAAUUCCAAGUGGGGGAUUGUUGGAACUUGGUUUGUUGAAAGCCAUUAGUGAGAACUUUUGGGUGUGAAAUCUAAAAAACUCUAAAGUGCCAUAUAGAAGAGUUUUGGAAAAAAACAACUCUCAAGUCCCACAUUGGAGAGAUGAGGAACUUAGAAAAAUCUCAUAUUAUAAAUAGAAGUUUUCACCCAUCAUUAUAACUUGCCCAAGUUGAAUGUGCUUUCAUUCAACUUUUUCUUUCUCCCUCAUAUUUUUCGCCGAUGCAUUUCUGGCAAACUUCUCCAUCUUUCUUUCUGUGGUACUAAGAAUUGGCACAAGCAGCCAAAUUGUGGGCAUUUCGAGAACUAACACUGAUAGUCAUUUUGGGGGAAAGAAUUGACAUGAGUAACCAUAUUGUGAGAAUUUCGAGAAUUGGCACUAGUAGCCAUAUUGCGAGAAUUUCGAGAAUUGGCACUAGUAGCCAUAUAGCGAGAAUUUCGAGAAUUGACAGUGAUAGCUAUAUUGUGGUGGGUGUAUUCGCGAUUGGUUCUUACAGUGCAGUAAGAAUUCGAUGACAGAGAUCUAAGUUGUUUUAUCCUAGGGACGACGUGAUUGAUAGUUUGCUUGCACAUUUUGGGCAGUGCCACAAAAAGUCUUAACGAAAGCGACUUGGUCGUGACUAAACCGUAAGUAUUAUUGCGUGUCAUUUAUAAUUGUUGCAAGCUACGUUAACAACAGACAUGUUGGAUCAGACUGUGACCGGAGAGCCUCCAACCAUCAGGGAGUUUCAUUGUUACCGGGAUAUGAGAAGAGUGAAGAGCCACAAGUGAGACACCAUGUCUUGAACCAAAAUUUUAAGGCAUUAGUUUCAUGAGUCUUUUUCACUUAUAAACUUUUUCACUUAUAAAUUUUUUCAAUCCUUACCUAUUGAAUGAGGUAGUUAGAGGGUUAAUCUAAGUACCAUCAAGGUUAUAAGGAUGCAUUCGACCUCCCAUCACCAUAAAACAACCCAAAAUGUCCCCAAAAGAUACAUAACUUAACUUGAUCGUGGGAAGGUAGCACGAGUAUAUGAGAUGCGCCAAGGUACUUUGAAGUAUUGAUGGAGUAACAAUUGUGUAUCGAGCCCCUAUAGACCCAAUAAACACACAAGCAAACUUCGUCAAUGUCAAAACCCUCAUACCAAUUACCAAUUUCUCACAAACAUAAUCUAAACUCAUCAAUUAUAGAAAUGAGAAGCUUACAAAGGUGAUUGAGAAGGAAGUGGAAGUGGUUUAAGGUUGAAGAAUACAAGGAAACACAAGUCACCAACAACGUUAAGGGUUUGAUGUAUAAAACAAAGAAUUAGGACAGGGUCAAUGGAGAAUAUGGUUGAAUAAAAUUUAACUUGAGAAAGGGCAAAAAAACAUCUGAAAUUACAUUAAAAAACUAAUACAAUGGCAUAAUUAUUAACUACUCAAAUCCAAAGUGAUUGCCCUAUCAAACUAAAUUAGGCUAAGUGGUUCUACAAGUUGGCCUCUAAUCAUCACAAAUCUGUAGGAAUGGGACCCAUCUUGAAAAGGACUAUUAUAGUUGAAUUCUCCUUAGCUUGUGAUCCAUGGCUAAGUCCUAUAAAGCUUCUUUCACUCUUUUAGCUCUUGUUCUGGUCAAUAGUCACACCAUUCCUUCUAAAGAGUCUGUAAUAUUGCAGGAGGUUGUUGUGUUUCAAUCAAUAAUAUGUAUCUUUUUUGUUUUAUUCCAUAUAUUUGUAAAUUAUCAUUCACUUGUUAAUUGUUAUACAAAUAGAUGGUGGUAAUACAAAAUCAUUGACAUAUUUUAAAUUUUAAAUCAUAUAUAUUAAUGACUUACAUAGUAUAUUUGACCUUAUUUUCCAUGUCAACUUUUGUCCUUGCUAAUUAAGUAAUGAUAUAUCAUGAUUUUUUUUGUUUGUAGUUUCAACUAGGGUAUAAGUAGUUGUGAUUUAAUCAGGAGAACGAACGGAGCCAAUCAAUAAAAUAUGGUUUGGUUCACUUUCACGGUUUGAUUCAGUUAGUUUUCUAAGGAACCAUUUAUGUUCAGUUUGAUUCAUGGUUUUAGAAAUUUAAGAAUUAUUGGAACUGAAUCGCAUAUUAAAGAAAUAGAUACUACAGAAUAAUAUUGUAUUGUUAUUUGAAUUUUUUAACCAAUUUUAUGUGAAUUAUAGUGUUAUAUAUGUUACUUACUACAUUGUUAUUAUGUUAGUGUUAUAUAUGUUACAACUUACUAAAUUAUUAUAUAUAUAUAUAUACAUAUAUAUGAUAACAUAUUUUCUAACUUUCGUGAUACUGGAUUUGAAAGUAACAUAUACCAUAAAUUAUUAUAUAUCUUACUAAUUAUGAAGUGUAAUGUUAUAUAAUUUACUCAUUGAUAUAUAGAUAUAUAUAUAUUACUAAUCGUGAAGUGUAUUGUUAUAUAUAUUAGGAAUAUAUAUAUAUAUAUUUGUUACUAAUUGUGAAUUGUACUAUUGAAAACGUGGUUAUUCGUUUUUUCUUCCUAAAUUAUAUAAUAACAAACAAUUACUAGUUUCAAUUUUUUUAUUAGUAAUAAUAAUAAAAGUAGUAUUUUUCUUUUAUGGAUAAAAAUGUCUUUUGUAAUAUAUUUUGAAUUUCCAAUUGUUGCAAAAAAAUUUAAAAACAAAAUCAUGACAACUGUGAAACUAAGCCUAACCAAACCAUUCAUGAGCUGUUCGGUUCGAUUCUUGCAAUAAAAUUUGUGGUUAAUUGAUAUGAAUUGAACCAUAUCUUUGUAUUUGGUUCAGUCAUUGAAUUACACCAAAAAUCAAACUGAAACGAACUUUUACACCAUGGUUUCAUCGGCUUCCACUCAUAAAAGCAGGUGUACUGUUAUUUCUUUAUUUUUUGGUUUACAUAGCAUUUUUUAUUUGUUGUUCAUAUUAGAGUUCCAUUUAAGUACCACUAUAUUUUUAUCCGAAAAAGGCAAAACGAAAUACAACUAUUUAUUCCCUCUUUCAUUUGAAAUGAAUUUGAGGACAUUGCAAUUGACACUUUUGAAACAAUAUAACUUGAUAAUAUAAGGGAAGCUAGAUAAAAUGAACUUGAGUACAAGGCAUAGUAUGGUUUUAGUGCAUGCAACUUUGAUUUUAGUUCCCAAUUUUUUUAUAUAGCUUUUAAUCAAUAAUAUAGUUGAUGAUUGUUUUAGUGUUAAUCAUGUUAUCAAUUAGUAUUACACAUGUCAAAUGUUGAUAUCAACUACAUCAUUAUUGUUGAAUGUAGAGAUACAUACAUAGAAUAAAUACCACACACCUACAAAGUACAUGAACAUUGAUUAAUAAAAUGCAUGGAUUAAUCCAACACAAAAUUUGGUACAUUUCCAUGAUAAAAACAUAUUUAGUCCUUCAUUUGCAGAUAUUUUGUCAAGUCAUUGUCAAAUGAAAGUGUAAAUAGAAAAUACUAUGGAAUCACAGUAAGAAAAAGUUGUGACAUGUAAGGGUGGCAAUUUGAUGAAUUUGGAUCAUAAUAGAUGGAUUUAAAGUCAUUCACCAAUCCAUAUAAAUCGAUGAAAUUAUAUUUCUAAACUAUCUAAUUCGUCCAUAUAUCUAUUUUAAUGGAUUGGAUGAAAGGAUAUCCAAUCCAUUUUUUAAAAUUUGAACUAAAGUAUUUUAAGGAAAAAAAAUCAUUUUAAAAAUUAUUAUUUAAUAAAUUAUUUUUAAAAAUAAAUUUAAAAACACUUUUUAAAAAAUCUCAGUAUUUAAAUUUACCUGUGAAAGACACCAAUAUAGGGGAUGUCAGAGAUAUUGUAUUGUGCAUGCAUUUUUUCUUGUGCUCAGUCAUGACACAAAAAUAUUAUAUCAAUCCUUAUUGAAACUUUUUGAAAGAAUGGUUUGAUGAGAAUGAGAAUAUUGUUGAAGAAAUCAUUUCGUUAGAAAGAGAGUAAUUUAUAUCACUGAUAUCAAAACCGGUUUGUGGCAGUCGGUCCAACCGGUAAACAAUCUUAAUAUCGCUACGAUACAACAUUUAUACCGGUCAUGCAAUUAUACUGGUAAAAAUCUAUCAUACUAGCCGAUUUUCAAUUGAACUGAACCAGCCAUACCUAUUGGUUUCAUUUAAAUUUUUUUUAAUGAAAAUGAUUUAUUUUUACCAAAAUAUCGAUAUAGAUGAUCAAACACACAACUACUACAUUUAUACAUCUAAAAUAUGGUGCCCAGUAUACAUUUUUUAACAUGUGAUAUAAAUAAAAAUAGUUUUUGUUUUCUUUAUUGAUUUUUCAAUAUUAAUAUUAGUAUAAAAUAUAUGUAUAUUUAACUUCACCGGUAUGUAGUUCAGUUUAAUUAGUGAAUAACUGGUUGAGUUUAUAUUUUUGUUGCUUUAUGUGGGAAAAAAAAUUGUUUUUAUUUUUUUUAUGGAUUGGGUACCCAUCCAAAUGGAUAUAUACCCAUGAAUAUUCAUUGGAUAUGAUGGAUGGAUAAGAAUCCAUUCAUUAUUAACAUUUUUCAUUGAAUUAUAUCCAUUAGCUCUAACGAAUGAAUUUUGAUAAAUUUAAUUUGGGUAGAUUAUAAAUGUGGAUAAUUUUAUCACUUCUAGUAAGAAGGUAGAAAAAGGGUAUAAAUGCUGAAUGGUUGCUUACAUGUGCAAACUAGCUAUCAUAAGGAGACUUGAAGUUUGCUGUACUUUGUUAACUUCCAUCCUGUCUUCAAGGUUUCUAAUUAGUUAAAAAUAGGGGAUCAAAACUAUCAUGAUAUAUUUUACACAUUUUGUACAUUUUGUAUAUGUGAUUAAUAUCUUAGUUAGUUUGUUAAGAGUUUGUUAAGAGUUUGUUAAAUUGUUACUUGUAUCACAAGUUAUCUUUAUAUUGUGUAUAUAAGCACAUGACUUGUAACCCUUUAAUCAAUCAAUGAAAUUACAAUACAUUCAUAUCUUCACCAUUAUUUUUGCAAUAUAAAAUUCUGUACAAAGUCAUUACUCAAACUACUGAUGCUAGAUAUAAUGUUCAUCAUGCCCAAUAAAAAAUAAUAACACUGAGGUUACAAUUAACUUCUUAUGCUUUCUAGAAUUGUUGGGUAUCAUUCUUGUUGAUAUAUUAUAGGACAGUUCGUCCCUUUUUGUAUUACUGUUGUUAUUAUAAAUUAUAGUUAUAUGUGGCAAUUCGUCACUUUUAAUAUUGAUUUUAUGUCAUUUUUUGUGAUGAAUAUGCUAUAUGCUAUGCGAUAUAAUGAGGUUGGUAUGCAGUAGAUAUGUUAAAUUAGAAAAUUGUAUAACUAUAUUACAAAAUUUGACAUAUCAAUUUACUCCUGUUCAAAAUCUUUACUUAUAAAAAGAAUAUUAGAUCAUUUGUCUCUAACCUUGUCCUCAAUUAUGUCCUCCCAAUCUCAAGAAAUUGUGACACCUAUUAAAAAUUUUGAAUAAUGAGAAAUACAUAUAUUAAUUUUUAGAGAAUAAUGUAUCUCCUUAUAUCAGGAGAUAACUUAUCUCCUCCAGCCAGUAAAAAUAUGACAUGUGUGCUAUUUUGUUUAUUUUUUAAAAUAUUUUUAUAGAAAAUGAUGAAACAUGACACAUGUCAUGAUUUUACUGGCAGAAGGAGAUAACUUAUCUCCUUAUACCAGGAGAUACUUCAUUCCCUUAUUAUGUGUUAAAAUUAUAUUGAAAUGGGUCAAGAUAUGUUUGGACAUGUGAUCUUCCUUCACUAGUGAAUUUGAUGAGGUUGCACUUCACUUCUAAUACGUCUAAGUACAUUGUAGGAUAUUCCAUUAAAUUCCCCAACCCAAAAAAUCUCAAUCAUACCAUAGUAUCACUUUUUCUCUUUAAUAUUAUUCCAAUAUUCCCAAUUAAUUCUCUAUAAGUUAUUUGGAAUGUAAAACCUCAUUUUCUUGGCAAAAACUUACACCAUAAUCGACAAAGUACUAUGUAUAUGUACCAACCACAUUGCCUAGUAUCCACUUAUGAAAGAAGGUUAUCUAUAUAGGAUAAUAGUGCUAAGAUAUCUUAGCAUGAAGGGCUUUCUACUGAUCCACACAUUCACUUGGUUCCUAUUGAACGAGACAUCAAUGCAUUUAGCUGUCUAAAAUGUCAGUUUAUGUGCUUCUUCCUUUUCUUCCCACAUGAGUUUGGACCACAUCCUAAUUGGUUUUCAAAUAUUUUCAUUCUAUUAUACUCUUGCUUUAGAUUAGAACUCUAAAAAUAUCUUAGGCUUCUCCAAGAUUAUGAAAAUUAAUUGCCUUUUCACUGAACUUUUUUUGAUAAAUAAAUAUAUGAUUGAUUUGACAUUUAAUGAUUGUUGAUUCCACAAAAUGUUGAACUUUGAUAAGUUAUACUUAUACCCCAUGUUUAAAAUUGUAAUUUGCAACCAUAAUUACAAUUAUAAUAUUAUGGUUUUGGAGUCUCUAUGAUGGUAUUGGCCACUUAUGGUUACAUUUUCCCACAAUUUUCUAUAAUUAUGGCAAAUGCAAGUAACUACAAGGCAAUUUAAAACACUAAUUAUAUUUAAUAAAAUUGGAUUUAAAUUUAAUAUAUAAUUGAUUGGUAUCAUGAAUUUUAUACAUUAAAAUUAACGUGGAGUGUUUUCAGUAAUGAAGUAAUUUUAUUAAUUAGCACUUUAUCCGACCAAAAUAUAUGUCCUCUAUAAUCAGCCUUUCAGUUAGAGACCUAAAAUGCCAAUCAUUAAUUAGUGCCUUAUUUGCUGGACCAAAUGGUUUAUUUAUGGAAAAUGAUCUUUCAAUAUUUCUUAAUCAGCAUGAAGAAUGUGCUUCAAGUUGCUUUUGUAGCAAUCAUUUAGCAUUUGUCAUCAUUUAUUAAAGCAUCUUUAAGAAUUUUGCUACUUGCAGACUAAAUUGUGUACCCCAACUUUACAUUGAUUAUGCAACAAUGUUAUUACAAGUUUGAUCAUACUAGUAAAAUUGUACAACUUCUUUAUAAAGCAGAAGGGCAAAAAUAAGAAGAAUUUUUUUAUACGAGGCUUAUUUCUUUUCUUAAAAGAAAGUUAUACAAAAUUGACAUAACUAAUUGAAGUUCACUCCAUAAUAUACCCAUUAACAUUCUAAUAAUUGGUUAUUAUUCUUAAUUAUUACAAAUGAUUCAUAUGAUUUUUUUAGUUUUGUUAGUUUUUGGAACACAUCAAGGUCAAAUUAGACCUUAGUGAUAAAAAAUGUUAUUGUGACAUAAUUUUAGAUAUUUAUUCAUCGAUGAGGGAUCAUAUUUAUAAUGAGAUUAAGACUUAUCAUUUCUCAUCUCAUUUUAGAAUAUGACUUAUGAGUCUAAUCCACUUAAUAUUAAGUUUUUGUACUACUAAGGGUAUUCUUUUAUAUUUUUAGGUAAAGAACUAAUCUCUUUUGGGUUUCGUUGCUGGCUCUCAAUAAGUAUAAUUCCCAGGAAUCAAAUAUUAAAUCUUAAGAAUCUAAUGAAGCCUUAAACCACUAGAUCAACGCCUUUUUGAUUACUAAUACCAUUUUAGAUAUGACUUAUGAGUCCAAUGAGUAACUUUGUAUCACACCAUAAUUAAUCCAACAACUUGCAACAAAAGCUCCUCCUAUAUAUAACAUAGCUAUGCAACUAGCUAAUCCCACAUUCCCACCCAACAACACAAAAAAUCAUACAACAAAAAUGCUUCACAUUCUUCUCCUCCUCCUUCCUCUUCUCUUAUCCAUUUCCAAUGCUUCUGUCAAUGAUUUCUGUGUAGCAGACCUUAAUGGUCCAGAUGGUCCUUCAGGCUAUCCCUGCAAGCCUCCUACAAAAGUAACCACACAUGACUUCGUAUAUGCUGGCUUAGCUGCUUCAGGAAACACCACAAACAUUAUCAAUGCUGCUGUAACACCUGCAUUUGUUGCUCAAUUCCCAGGUCUAAAUGGCCUUGGUCUUUCUGCAGCAAGGUUAGACAUUGCUUCUGGUGGUGUAAUCCCUCUUCAUACUCACCCUGGUGCUUCUGAGUUAUUGAUAGUAACACAAGGUCGUGUCACUGCUGGGUUUAUAACAUCAGAUAAUUCAGUUUAUGUGAAGACACUUUCAAAGGGAGAACUUUUCAUUUUGCCACAAGGGUUGUUGCAUUUUCAAUUAGGUUAUGGUAAGAGAAAAGCUGUUGCUUAUGCUGUUUUCAGUAGCUCAAGUCCAGGGCUUCAAAUACUUGAUUUUGCAUUGUUUGCAAGCAACUUUUCUUCUUCUUUGAUUACACAGACUACUUUCCUUGACCCUGAACAAGUGAAGAAGCUUAAGAGUGUUCUUGGUGGUAGUGGCUAGACCUUUUUAGUUUGGUUGUUCAUGAAUCAUUGAUUCAUUGUUUUACUUAAAACAUUCCUUGUGUUGUUUCAGUUCAUUGGAAUUUGUGUAGGUUGCCCUAGUCAUUAAGUACCUUGUAUCAAUGUGUUUCAGUUAAUUUUCAUUGUUGCAAAUCUCAAUGUCAAGAUUAUUUCAAUGUAACUAUGUUUUGAAGGGUUUGUGAAUGUUUAUGGGUAAUUUUAUCCAAUAGCCUCCCAUGUUUUAAAUUGUAAUUAAGUUGUGUUUAUUACAAUUGUGGAAAAUUAUAAUUGAUAAGACUAUAAUUAUAAUCAUAACAUCAUUGUGAGACUCUCAAACUAACUAUAAUAUUAUAGUCAUAAUUUAAGUUAUAAAGUACAAUUUAAAAUAAUGACCCUCUAUGUCAACUGUGCAUGUCAAUUUUAAAUUGAUAUGAAGUUUUAUUUUAUUAAUAUUCCUUUGUAAAAGUUGGUAGUUGUCUUUUAUUGUAAUACUUUAGUUAUAAUUGUCCAUACGUCAUAAAGUUCGAUUCAGUUGCUACUAACUCAUCCUAAACAUUAACAUAGUUGUACAAAAUGCUAGCAGAUUAUUAUAUGGUACACAUACCUUGUGUCUUUAUAAGUACAUAAUUAGUUUCAGAGUUAAUUUUCAAAUGUCUUCAUAAAAACAGAUUUAGUUGUAUUAUAUUAUCUAGAAAACAAUUUACACUAUUAAUCAUUUAUAUAUUACCAUAUCAUUAAAAAUAUUUAACUUGUUAUCUUAAUUAAUUAUAUUUUAAGUCACACUUAUAGUAAUUUAUAAUUGGUUUGUAGUGUAAAAACUUUUAUUAAACUUAAAUGGAUAUAACAAUAAUUAUCAAACAAAAGGAGUGCUAGCAAUAAAUCCUCUAACACACUUGUUCUCUACUAGAACAUAAAGAUAUAGACAAUGGUUGAUCAGUUGUUGAGGAGGGAGAAGAGGAUAAUCGUCAAAGUAGCAGGAUGAGGUAGGAGAGCUGGAUUGAAGAAUGUGCUUCAAGUUGCUUUUGUAGCAAUCAUUUAGCAUUUGUCAUCAUUUAUUAAAGCAUCUUUAAGAAUUUUGCUACUUGCAGACUAAAUUGUGUACCCCAACUUUACAUUGAUUAUGCAACAAUGUUAUUACAAGUUUGAUCAUACUAGUAAAAUUGUACAACUUCUUUAUAAAGCAGAAGGGCAAAAAUAAGAAGAAUUUUUUUAUACGAGGCUUAUUUCUUUUCUUAAAAGAAAGUUAUACAAAAUUGACAUAACUAAUUGAAGUUCACUCCAUAAUAUACCCAUUAACAUUCUAAUAAUUGGUUAUUAUUCUUAAUUAUUACAAAUGAUUCAUAUGAUUUUUUUAGUUUUGUUAGUUUUUGGAACACAUCAAGGUCAAAUUAGACCUUAGUGAUAAAAAAUGUUAUUGUGACAUAAUUUUAGAUAUUUAUUCAUCGAUGAGGGAUCAUAUUUAUAAUGAGAUUAAGACUUAUCAUUUCUCAUCUCAUUUUAGAAUAUGACUUAUGAGUCUAAUCCACUUAAUAUUAAGUUUUUGUACUACUAAGGGUAUUCUUUUAUAUUUUUAGGUAAAGAACUAAUCUCUUUUGGGUUUCGUUGCUGGCUCUCAAUAAGUAUAAUUCCCAGGAAUCAAAUAUUAAAUCUUAAGAAUCUAAUGAAGCCUUAAACCACUAGAUCAACGCCUUUUUGAUUACUAAUACCAUUUUAGAUAUGACUUAUGAGUCCAAUGAGUAACUUUGUAUCACACCAUAAUUAAUCCAACAACUUGCAACAAAAGCUCCUCCUAUAUAUAACAUAGCUAUGCAACUAGCUAAUCCCACAUUCCCACCCAACAACACAAAAAAUCAUACAACAAAAAUGCUUCACAUUCUUCUCCUCCUCCUUCCUCUUCUCUUAUCCAUUUCCAAUGCUUCUGUCAAUGAUUUCUGUGUAGCAGACCUUAAUGGUCCAGAUGGUCCUUCAGGCUAUCCCUGCAAGCCUCCUACAAAAGUAACCACACAUGACUUCGUAUAUGCUGGCUUAGCUGCUUCAGGAAACACCACAAACAUUAUCAAUGCUGCUGUAACACCUGCAUUUGUUGCUCAAUUCCCAGGUCUAAAUGGCCUUGGUCUUUCUGCAGCAAGGUUAGACAUUGCUUCUGGUGGUGUAAUCCCUCUUCAUACUCACCCUGGUGCUUCUGAGUUAUUGAUAGUAACACAAGGUCGUGUCACUGCUGGGUUUAUAACAUCAGAUAAUUCAGUUUAUGUGAAGACACUUUCAAAGGGAGAACUUUUCAUUUUGCCACAAGGGUUGUUGCAUUUUCAAUUAGGUUAUGGUAAGAGAAAAGCUGUUGCUUAUGCUGUUUUCAGUAGCUCAAGUCCAGGGCUUCAAAUACUUGAUUUUGCAUUGUUUGCAAGCAACUUUUCUUCUUCUUUGAUUACACAGACUACUUUCCUUGACCCUGAACAAGUGAAGAAGCUUAAGAGUGUUCUUGGUGGUAGUGGCUAGACCUUUUUAGUUUGGUUGUUCAUGAAUCAUUGAUUCAUUGUUUUACUUAAAACAUUCCUUGUGUUGUUUCAGUUCAUU